RNAcentral lists this ribosomal RNA (253 nucleotides) under uncultured bacterium. Its description in RNAcentral is "partial 16S ribosomal RNA". It matches the Rfam family "Bacterial small subunit ribosomal RNA", at positions 524 to 776 of the family's 1533-position model. The record is from RNAcentral.
UACAGAGGUCUCAAGCGUUGUUCGGAUUCAUUGGGCGUAAAGGGUGCGUAGGCGGCGCGGUAAGUCGGGUGUGAAAUCUUGGAGCUUAACUCCGAAACUGCAUUCGAUACUGCCGUGCUUGAGGACUGGAGAGGAGACUGGAAUUUACGGUGUAGCGGUGAAAUGCGUAGAUAUCUGGAGGAACACCGGUGGCGAAGGCGGCAUCCUGGACCAAUUCUGACGCUGAGGAGCGAAAGCCAGGGGAGCAAACAGG